UGAUAUAUGCUUCGCCACUUUUGUCAAAAUUGAAUUCUACAUUUUAAAUGCCAAUCUUUUAUUAUUUUUAUUUUAAUUAAAUUAAUUAUUAUAGAAAUUUAAAUGUAAGAAAUUAAAAAUGCCCAUGGCGAAUUCUGGAAAAUUCUUCUAUCAGGACCUUUCCCGAACAAGACGUGUAUCAAGCGUAUACUGAAAAAAACAAGCAUUCGAUAAAGCACAAAAUCAACCUAUCGAAAUAGAACUUGGGCAACGCCAGCUCAUUUGAUGGUGGCAGCACUGACUAGAGUAAUGGGCAGCACUUUGCAUUAGAAGCUCCAGGAAAUAUAAACAAACCACAAAAAUACAAUAAAAUAAUCAAUAUGUACAUAUAUAGAAAAAUAGUCAGCUAAUAAUGCAAAAUAUUUCAUAAUUAAUAGAAAUACAUGUAAACACUCUGAUAUUUCGAUUUCUUUCGACAUCUAUUAGCUUGCAUAUGUAUAUUGAAACUGUGUUGGCUUCCAUGGAGGACGACGGCAGAUCUGAUCUGCGGUUGGCACAAACUUAGUCAUUGAAUGAUCGAACGGCAUUUAUAUAAAUCGAGAAGAUCAAUGAUCCGCCUUUCGACAGCCUUCUUCACACAUCUACUACUUAGCAACCUGCAGGCAAGGGCCAUCACGGCUGUUAUACGUUAUUCAAAGCAUAAAUGCAAUCGCAAUCAGCAAUCGCAUUAAUUUCAGCUACACAACGUGGUGCUAAUGCGACAAGUUCUGUUGCAGGCUGUUGCGGCUUCCUGGAAAGUGGCAUCGCAUCCCCCCAUCCGAUGCACCGAAUCGGAGCAUAGUCGGCGCAUUGAUCAGCGAUAUGAAAGUGGCAGCGCGUCGAAUGGCAGCGGAGCAAAGCCGGGCAAUCUCGAAUGGCCAUCGACGAACUGAGUGACUGACCAGGCCACUGGCAGGCAACGACUCCAGAGAUAGCGCUGAGCCAUGGCCAGCAAUUAUAAUAUAUACAAAAUGCAAUCGGGUUCAGAGGGCAAACGUAGAAGAAAUUGCCAGUGCCAGAAAGAGACGCCCGAUCUGCAGGAGCCCAAGAGAUAGAGAGACAGAGCGAGAAAGAGAGAGAGAGAGAGAUAGAGAAAGAGACUGUCAGCCAAAGGCUGGUAUCGGUUCAUUGGCAGCUUUGCACGUCGUCGUCGUCGUCGUCGUCAUCGUCGAUCAAUGCGCAGCCUGUAGCGCCGCAUCCAUAUCAAGAUGUUUGGCUUAUUGAGCCCCGAACCAGGCAAUCGUGAUCAACUGUGCAACAGAAUUCGGCAGCAAUUUUCCAGGCACACUGCAACUGGCGAUACGGCGACAGAUUCGUUUUGGGCGCUACGCAAGUCCAUAGUCCGCACGGACGGCUUGCCCAAAAGCCAACCAGAGCCAUGUCCAUGGCCAGUUGAAAUGCCAGCUGCGGGCGCCCACAACGCACAGAGAGCAAGAGAGACAGAGACAGAGUGGCCGUAGGCCGUAGGCCUUAGCAAGAGCUGCAGCUAUCCACAGCUCCACGUUUAAUAAGCAAUUUUGAUUUGGAGCAGAUUAUGUGACGGGCAAACGAGCCUCGGCACCAGGUUGCAUGCAACAUGAGGCGGCUACUGCAGCCGAAACGUGAGCUCCCCGAGUGCCAGGCGCAGGCGAAUUCGAAGGCACCUCACCAUAGCUUGCCACGUCUCGCUGCACUUGACUUUGUUGCUGACCCGGCAAAAGAUUUUUAACUUGCCCCAUGCUCUGGCUCUGGCUCUGGCUCUCCCUCUCUCACACACAUUCUGUGUUUCCCGCUCUGGCUCUCUUUGGAUCUUGUUGAUACUGUUUUACAUGGAACUCGUACUGAUUGCUUCUAGUCAUGCCCCGAUUUGCAGAUUUCCCAUUUUGUGAUAAAAGUGCAUCAUUUUCAUUGGAA
Molecule: long non-coding RNA, 1911 nt
Organism: Drosophila virilis
Lineage: Eukaryota; Metazoa; Arthropoda; Insecta; Diptera; Drosophilidae
Source: RefSeq, a predicted model, not a curated record